Gallus gallus (chicken) is the source of this 1923-nucleotide long non-coding RNA. RefSeq lists it as uncharacterized. The record is from RefSeq and is a predicted model, not a curated record. The transcript is spliced from 2 exons. NCBI's taxonomy places the organism in Eukaryota, Metazoa, Chordata, Aves, Galliformes, Phasianidae.
GCCUGGUGGUUGGUGUCAGCCUGAGAAGUGGACGAAGGAGAUAAUCCUGGAAGUCUAAAUGCCUUCUUGGAAAACAGAACUAGAAUUCCAGAGUGACUGCCAAAAUUCAGGCUGAAGCUUGAUGAAGCUGAGAAGAACAGAGUCUUAAGGAAUACAUUAUCUCUAGUGUGAAGGGUGGGGGAUAAUCUUGACAAGUCAUGCUCACUUAGGACUUCACAUCACCUGCUCCUAUUGAAGCACCAAACAAAACUGGUCAUGUCUAGGAUCCAAAUCACCUUCCAUUUAAGCCUGUGACAGCAGGGAAAUAAAGUACCCACUUUGAAACCACUAGCAGUGGUAACAAGCAACAUUUUCCUGAGUCUCAUCCUGUAUUAGUUUUUACUCUCCUAUAAUAAUUGGUGACUGCUUUGUGUGCUAGAAGAAGAGAAGCAUGCCCAUGUACAUCAUCAAAACCACUUUUAGAUGUCUCUGUUUAUUACAGAUCAUUUCUGCCAAUAGGCUUAUAGCUUUUUUACAUUUCUGUAGUAUGUACAGAAGACUGUUGUUUCUAAUGUUAAGAAUAUCAAGUUUGGGGCAUACUAUUUUCCCCAGUUGUACAUUCCACUCUUCAAAUGACUUGGGUUUAAAUGAGUUUAACUUAACAGCAAAGGAUAAAUAAAGCAGCAACUUAGGACAUAUUUAUUGCAUAGAGUAAGGAAAAUAUUCACAAAUUUGCUAAGAAAAUGAUUUAAAUCUUCCUUAUGCUUUCCGUACAUUUCAUGGUAUGGGAGCGUUUAAGAUUUGGAAAUCAGUUUUUCUCUACCAAAGACCAUUCACAGGCAUUCCCAUUCUGUAUCUACCUGUGAAGCAGCUCUUGCUCUCCUUGCUAAUUCAAACAAACUACAAACCCUGAAAAUGAGUUCUGUCAACUACUACCUACAAGCUUUAAGAGUCACCUUAGUGGGAUUUUUCUUCAAGUGACACUGUAUAUGCUGAACAGAAUAAUCUGAUUAGCCUUUUUUAAUAAAGCUGAACAAUUUUCUUAAAGGAGUUGAAAUCUGGUUUAUGCAGAACUAUAUUUCUUUCUUCCAUUUCCUAGAAGACUUCAUUUUGUGGAUAAACAAUUCAAUUUACAUUUGGAAUCAGAUAAAACAGCUUAGUUUCUGUUCCACGGGAACAGUUUCCGUACUGGCAAGCAAUUUUAACUUGAGUACACUGAUGCUGUAAGCCAAAUGCAUUAGUAUAUUUGAAUCUCUGGGCUUUGUUUGUGCAUGUCUCUAAAAGAAAAAGAAAUCAAAAACUAGGAAGCAUAAUUAACAAAAUGUCACAGUGCUGUUUCGACUGACAAAGGGAGGUACCAAAUAGAAAGGUUUGUAAAGCAGUGUAGUAUUUUAUGGAUCAAGUAAUAUAAAUCAUGCAAGCCAUAGCUUUCAAAAGCGAAGUGAGAAGUAAUGGCUUAGAAUUCAGUCUCAAGUAAAAGGCAACUAAAAUAAAGGUACGUUUCAUCAGAGAAAUGAGAAGGCAUAAGAGAAUACUUUCGAAGUAAAAUAUAUAGCUAAUAAAAUGGCAGAGAGUGAAAUAAGAUCCCAUAGACCAGAUGACAUUAGAGAAUCCGACUCCAGCAUUUAAGGGAGGUUGGAAGUUUAUUAAAUCAAUGCUUCUGACAUCAGUUACAUUUUUAACUAGAAUAGAAGGGAAGUUGCUCCGUUGCACUGAAAGCAAAUCACUGAAAGUUCAGCUACAGUGAAGCUCUUAACAAACCAGUAGCAAGUAAAGUUAGGUGGUAAGGGGCCCCUUUACAAAUGCUAUAAGUUCACUUAAUCUCUGUUGGAAGCAGCAGUACAGGUGUGCACAACGCAGGAGUACUUAUUUCAACCCUUUUAACCUGAAAUAGUUAAGCACGCAGUUGAGAUGAGCACAGUGCUGGCUGCACUGAAGUGAAUU